RNAcentral lists this ribosomal RNA (459 nucleotides) under uncultured bacterium. Its description in RNAcentral is "partial 16S ribosomal RNA". It matches the Rfam family "Bacterial small subunit ribosomal RNA", at positions 338 to 795 of the family's 1533-position model. The record is from RNAcentral.
ACUACGGGUGGCAGCAGUGGGGAAUAUUGGUCAAUGGGCGCGAGCCUGAACCAGCCAAGUCGCGUGAGGGAAGACGGUCCUAUGGAUUGUAAACCUCUUUUGUCGGGGAGCAAAAGACGCCACGCGUGGCGUUCCGAGAGUACCCGAAGAAAAAGCAUCGGCUAACUCCGUGCCAGCGGCCGCGGUAAUACGGAGGCUGCGAGCGUUGUCGGGAAUUAUUGGGUUUAAAGGGUGCGCAGGCGGAAGAUGAAGUCAGCGGUAAAAUUGAGAGGCACAACCUCUUCGAGCCGUUGAAACUGGUUUUCUUGAGUGAGUGAGAAGUAUGCGGAAUGCGUGGUGUAGCGGUGAAAUGCAUAGAUAUCACGCAGAACUCCGAUUGCGAAGGCAGCAUACCGGCGCUCAACUGACGCUGAGGCACGAAAGCGUGGGGAUCGAACAGGAUUAGAUACCCGGGUAGUC